AGUCGCAUGGUGUAAUGGUAGCACAGAUGAUUUUGGUUCAUCUAGCCUAGGUUCAAACCCUAGUGCGACUA
This 71-nucleotide transfer RNA is filed under the name Caudoviricetes sp. Its description in RNAcentral is "tRNA-Gln". It matches the Rfam family "tRNA". Rfam says of the family: Transfer RNA (tRNA) molecules are approximately 80 nucleotides in length. Their secondary structure includes four short double-helical elements and three loops (D, anti-codon, and T loops). The record is from RNAcentral. Lineage: Duplodnaviria; Heunggongvirae; Uroviricota; Caudoviricetes.